AAUAGAUACCCAGGUAGUCCACGCCGUAAACGAUGAGUGCUAAGUGUUAGAGGAUUUCCGCCCUUUAGUGCUGCAGCUAACGCAUUAAGCACUCCGCCUGGGGGAGUACGGCCGCAAGGCUGAAACUCAAAGGAAUUGACGGGGGCCCGCACAAGCGGUGGAGCAUGUGGUUUAAUUCGAAGCAACGCGAAGAACCUUACCAGGUCUUGACAUCCUCUGACAACCCUAGAGAUAGGGCUUUCUCCUUCGGGGGACAGAGUGACAGGUGGUGCAUGGUUGUCGUCAGCUCGUGUCGUGAGAUGUUGGGUUAAGUCCCGCAACGAGCGCAACCCUUGAUCUUAGUUGCCAGCAUUCAGUUGGGCACUCUAAGGUGACUGCCGGUGACAAACCGGAGGAAGGUGGGGAUGACGUCAAAUCAUCAUGCCCCUUAUGACCUGGGCUACACACGUGCUACAAUGGAUGGUACAAAGGGCUGCAAACCUGCGAAGGUAAGCGAAUCCCAUAAAGCCAUUCUCAGUUCGGAUU
RNAcentral lists this ribosomal RNA (525 nucleotides) under uncultured bacterium. RNAcentral's name for it is "bacterial SSU rRNA". It matches the Rfam family "Bacterial small subunit ribosomal RNA", at positions 777 to 1299 of the family's 1533-position model. The record is from RNAcentral.